This 253-nucleotide ribosomal RNA is filed under the name uncultured bacterium. Its description in RNAcentral is "partial 16S ribosomal RNA". It matches the Rfam family "Bacterial small subunit ribosomal RNA", at positions 524 to 776 of the family's 1533-position model. The record is from RNAcentral.
UACGGAGGGUGCAAGCGUUAAUCGGAAUUACUGGGCGUAAAGCGUGCGCAGGCGGUUUGUUAAGUCUGCUGUGAAAUCCCCGAGCUCAACUUGGGAAUUGCAGUGGAUACUGGCAGGCUGGAGUAUGGUAGAGGAAGGUGGAAUUCCCGGUGUAGCAGUGAAAUGCGUAGAGAUCGGGAGGAACACCAGUGGCGAAGGCGGCCUUCUGGACCAAUACUGACGCUCAUGCACGAAAGCGUGGGGAGCGAACAGG